UGGGGAAUAUUGGACAAUGGGCGCAAGCCUGAUCCAGCCAUGCCGCGUGAGUGAUGAAGGCCUUAGGGUUGUAAAGCUCUUUCAGUGGGGAAGAUAAUGACGGUACCCACAGAAGAAGCCCCGGCUAACUUCGUGCCAGCAGCCGCGGUAAUACGAAGGGGGCUAGCGUUGUUCGGAUUUACUGGGCGUAAAGCGCACGUAGGCGGAUUGUUAAGUCAGGGGUGAAAUCCUGGAGCUCAACUCCAGAACUGCCUUUGAUACUGGCAAUCUCGAGUCCGGAAGAGGUAAGUGGAACUCCUAGUGUAGAGGUGGAAUUCGUAGAUAUUAGGAAGAACACCAGUGGCGAAGGCGGCUUACUGGUCCGGAACUGACGCUGAGGUGCGAAAGCGUGGGGAGCAAACAGG
RNAcentral lists this ribosomal RNA (404 nucleotides) under uncultured bacterium. RNAcentral's name for it is "bacterial SSU rRNA". It matches the Rfam family "Bacterial small subunit ribosomal RNA", at positions 355 to 776 of the family's 1533-position model. The record is from RNAcentral.